AAAGGAAUAGACGGGGACCCGCACAAGCAGUGGAGCAUGUGGUUUAAUUCGAAGCAACGCGAAGAACCUUACCAGGUCUUGACAUCCCCCUGACCGGAUCAGAGAUGGUCCUUUCCCUUUGGGACAGGGGAGACAGGUGGUGCAUGGUUGUCGUCAGCUCGUGUCGUGAGAUGUUGGGUUAAGUCCCGCAACGAGCGCAACCCUUGAUGCUAGUUGCCAGCACGUAAAGGUGGGCACUCUAGCGUGACUGCCGGUGACAAACCGGAGGAAGGCGGGGAUGACGUCAAAUCAUCAUGCCCCUUAUGACCUGGGCUACACACGUGCUACAAUGGCCGCCACAAAGGGCAGCGAAGGAGCGAUCCGGAGCGAAUCCCAAAAAAGCGGUCUCAGUUCGGAUUGCAGGCUGCAACUCGCCUGCAUGAAGUCGGAAUUGCUAGUAAUCGCGGAUCAGCAUGCCGCGGUGAAUACGUUCCCGGGUCUUGUACACACCGCCCGU
Molecule: ribosomal RNA, 496 nt
Filed under: uncultured bacterium
Lineage: Bacteria
Description: bacterial SSU rRNA
Rfam family: Bacterial small subunit ribosomal RNA
Source: RNAcentral